UUUUGUUCAAACAGAGAGAGAUUGGAUGGCAUAUGAUCCUACGAAGAGUGUACCAAUGUUUGAUGCCAAUGAUCCGUGCCUCAGUGCCGCCGCCGGCAGCUGGCACCAUGGCUGCCGUUGCCCCAUCUCCUGUGUUCCCCUCCUUGAGAAUCUCCCCCAUCAUUUGUUCGAAGAGCACAUAGUCUUCCAUCUGCUUUCAAAUAAUCGGUUCAAAGUCACGCGAUCAUAACAGUUCAAGAGUUGAAAAAUAUGAUCAUAACAAGACUUGAAAAUCAUGAUCGUGCUUCCUUCUCGGCAGCGAGGCGGCGCUCCUCUGCCUCCACCUCCGUCCUCCUCCAGAACUUGUCGAUCUCGGCCCUUGUGAUGCUGUACACCGGGACUGCCGCCAUGAUCGUUGCAGCUCUGGCCUUUGGGGAGCAGGGACUUUGGUGGGUGCAGAGGAGGGAACUAGCAAGAGGGACGGCACUGCCGGUCUAGCAAUCAACCUCCCCUGUUAUCUGCCCUGGAGUACUUGUUGCUGGCUAGGUUGAGGUGUAGUCAGGUCACCUCAUAUAUAUACACACUGCUACAUCUUUAUCUGCAGGAUCUUGCAUCA
Panicum hallii is the source of this 595-nucleotide long non-coding RNA. RefSeq lists it as uncharacterized. Lineage: Eukaryota; Viridiplantae; Streptophyta; Magnoliopsida; Poales; Poaceae. The transcript has 2 exons. The record is from RefSeq and is a predicted model, not a curated record.